This 451-nucleotide ribosomal RNA is filed under the name Ischnura barberi. RNAcentral describes it as "partial 16S ribosomal RNA". It matches the Rfam family "Bacterial large subunit ribosomal RNA", at positions 1926 to 2585 of the family's 2925-position model. The record is from RNAcentral. Lineage: Eukaryota; Metazoa; Arthropoda; Insecta; Odonata; Coenagrionidae.
AACGGCCGCGGUAUAUUGACCGUGCAAAGGUAGCAUAAUCAUUAGUCUUUUAAUAGGAGGCUGGAAUGAAAGGUUUAACGAGAAAUUGACUGUCUCAAUUACAAACUUGAAUUUAUCUUUUGAGUCAAAAGACUUAAAUUUAAUUGAUGGACGAGAAGACCCUAUAGAGCUUGACAGUUUUGUUUUUAUAUUUACUUAGUUUAUUAUUAUUUAUUUAUACUAAUAAAAUUGUUUUGUUGGGGUGACAAUAAAUAUAUAUUUAACUUUUAUCAUAAUAUAAACAUUAAUUUAUGAUUUUUGGAUCCAAAAAUUUUGAUCAUUAGAUUAAGUUACCUUAGGGAUAACAGCGUAAUCUUCCUUCAGAGUUCAUAUUUACGGGAAGGGUUGCGACCUCGAUGUUGGAUUAAGAUAAUAAUUAGGUGCAGUAGCUUAAUUAAUAGGUCUGUUCGAC